GCGGCCGCAUUCCGGCGUGAUCCCUGGAAGCUGCCAGCAGGUGCUGCUCAAGAAAGGAACAGCUUCAGCCAUAGGUGACAGUGGCAUACAUCUCACUGGAGACAGAGAAGGACAAGUUGAAAACAUGGAUUUUUGUGUCGUACCAUGUCUUACAAUGGUAUCAUUCAACAAUUUUUAAAAUUAGAUUUUGGAAAACAUUUUCUUAUCUUCUACCCCAUUGUAUUCUUUCAACCGCUCAGUGAAGCCAGUACUUUGAGCCUCACUGCCAAUUUACAGAGCACAGAAUAAAACAAAAGAGAAUAAAAUGAUAUGGGUUGCAGCUUCCCAGUUGAGCAAAAGGAUAGGAGCCUCAGACCCUUAGUUCUGAACCCUGCCUGGAUU
RNAcentral lists this small RNA (381 nucleotides) under Pongo abelii (Sumatran orangutan). Its description in RNAcentral is "processed transcript". Lineage: Eukaryota; Metazoa; Chordata; Mammalia; Primates; Hominidae. The record is from RNAcentral.